UCUGCCCUUAGGUACGGAAUAACAGUGAGAAAUUACUGCUAAUACCGUAUGAUGUCUUCGGACCAAAGAUUUAUCGCCUAANGAUGAGCCCGCGUUGGAUUAGCUAGNUUGGUGGGGUAAAGGCCUACCAAGGCGACGAUCCAUAGCUGGUCNUGAGAGGAUGAUAGNCCCACUGGGACUGAGACCCGGGCCANACUUCUACGGGAGGCAGCANUGGGGAA
RNAcentral lists this ribosomal RNA (221 nucleotides) under marine bacterium SIMO-IS211. Its description in RNAcentral is "partial 16S ribosomal RNA". It matches the Rfam family "Bacterial small subunit ribosomal RNA", at positions 125 to 361 of the family's 1533-position model. Lineage: Bacteria; Pseudomonadati; Pseudomonadota; Alphaproteobacteria. The record is from RNAcentral.